AAAUUGGCGUUGAAGAGGAGUAGUAAUCUUAUAAGUGGAUGAGAAGAGAGUCAGCGGGUGGUGCAAGCUGAACAUCGACUAAGAUGAACUUGCCUUGGAGCUGGGCAUUGCCCCGUUUUCCGCGUUAAGGAAAAAUAAGUUGAGUGGUAAAACACUAAUGUGGGUGGUACCGCGGGAGAUGUCUCUCGUCCCAUGG
This 196-nucleotide non-coding RNA is filed under the name Listeria grayi. Its description in RNAcentral is "T-box sequence". It matches the Rfam family "T-box leader". From Rfam's summary of the family: Uncharged tRNA acts as the effector for transcription antitermination of genes in the T-box leader family. T-boxes are found upstream of many aminoacyl-tRNA synthetase genes and some amino acid biosynthetic genes usually in Gram-positive bacteria. The record is from RNAcentral. Lineage: Bacteria; Bacillati; Bacillota; Bacilli; Caryophanales; Listeriaceae.